Molecule: ribosomal RNA, 275 nt
Filed under: uncultured bacterium
Lineage: Bacteria
Description: partial 16S ribosomal RNA
Rfam family: Bacterial small subunit ribosomal RNA
Source: RNAcentral
GCGUGAGUGAGGAAGGCCUUAGGGUUGUAAAGCUCUUUCGCGCGCGACGAUGAUGACGGUAGCGCGAGAAGAAGCCCCGGCUAACUUCGUGCCAGCAGCCGCGGUAAUACGAAGGGGGCGAGCGUUGUUCGGAUUUACUGGGCGUAAAGGGCGCGCAGGCGGCUUUGUUUGUCAGGCGUGAAAGCCCCGGGCUCAACCUGGGAACUGCGCUUGAGACGGCAAGGCUAGAGAUCGGGAGAGGAGAGUGGAAUUCCCAGUGUAGAGGUGAAAUUCGU